GAUGGCCAAGUUGGUAAGGCGCGUCACUAGUAAUGACGAGAUCGUCGGUUCGAAUCCGGCUCGAGGCA
RNAcentral lists this transfer RNA (68 nucleotides) under Geotrichum candidum. RNAcentral's name for it is "tRNA-Thr". It matches the Rfam family "tRNA". From Rfam's summary of the family: Transfer RNA (tRNA) molecules are approximately 80 nucleotides in length. Their secondary structure includes four short double-helical elements and three loops (D, anti-codon, and T loops). Lineage: Eukaryota; Fungi; Ascomycota; Dipodascomycetes; Dipodascales; Dipodascaceae. The record is from RNAcentral.